Molecule: ribosomal RNA, 590 nt
Filed under: uncultured archaeon
Lineage: Archaea
Description: bacterial SSU rRNA
Rfam family: Archaeal small subunit ribosomal RNA
Source: RNAcentral
GGCCCUACGGGGUGCAGCAGGCGCGAAAACUUUACAAUGCUGGCAACAGCGAUAAGGGAACCUCGAGUGCCAGGUUACAAAUCUGGCUGUCGAGAUGCCUAAAAAGCAUUUCAUAGCAAGGGCCGGGCAAGACCGGUGCCAGCCGCCGCGGUAACACCGGCGGCUCGAGUGGUAACCGUUAUUAUUGGGUCUAAAGGGUCUGUAGCCGGCCGGAUAAGUCUCUUGAGAAAUCUGGCAGCUUAACUGUCAGGCUUUCAGGAGAUACUGUCUGGCUCGAGGCCGGGAGAGGUGAGAGGUACUUCAGGGGUAGGGGUGAAAUCUUGUAAUCCUUGAAGGACCACCAGUGGCGAAGGCGUCUCACCAGAACGGACCUGACGGCAAGGGACGAAAGCUAGGGGCACGAACCGGAUUAGAUACCCGGGUAGUCCUAGCCGUAAACGAUACUCGCUAGGUGUCGGCCACGGUGCGACCGUUGUCGGUGCCGUAGGGAAGCCGUGAAGCGAGCCACCUGGGAAGUACGGCCGCAAGGCUGAAACUUAAAGGAAUCGGCGGGGGAGCACCACAACGGGUGGAGCUUGCGGUUUAAUUGG